GACGUAAAACUGCGUUUAGACGUAAAUCUGCGUUUAGACGUAAAUCUGCGUUUAGACGUAAAUCUGCGUUUAGACGUAAAUCUGAGUUUAGACGCAAAACUGCACUUAGACGCAAAACUGCGCUUAGAUGCAAAACUGCGCUUAGAUGCAAAACUGCGCUUAGACGCAAAACUGCGCUUAAACGCAAUCUGCGCUUAGACGCAAACUGCACUUAGAUACAAACUGAGAAUUUGCUUUUGCAUCAUAAUAGUUUUUGAACGAACGCAGCUUUUGGUUCUUAAUCGCUGUAAGAUUUCCGCUGCACUAAUUCACCCCCCCCCCUCUUAGUGCUCUCGAUCCUA
Molecule: long non-coding RNA, 341 nt
Filed under: Musa acuminata (dwarf banana)
Lineage: Eukaryota; Viridiplantae; Streptophyta; Magnoliopsida; Zingiberales; Musaceae
Description: long non-coding RNA (MACU_LNC009900)
Source: RNAcentral